UGGGGAAUUUUGGACAAUGGGGGAAACCCUGAUCCAGCCAUCCCGCGUGUGCGAUGAAGGCCUUCGGGUUGUAAAGCACUUUUGGCAGGAAAGAAACGUCAUGGGUUAAUACCCCGUGAAACUGACGGUACCUGCAGAAUAAGCACCGGCUAACUACGUGCCAGCAGCCGCGGUAAUACGUAGGGUGCAAGCGUUAAUCGGAAUUACUGGGCGUAAAGCGUGCGCAGGCGGUUAGGAAAGAAAGAUGUGAAAUCCCAGAGCUCAACUUUGGAACUGCAUUUUUAACUACCGGGCUAGAGUGUGUCAGAGGGAGGUGGAAUUCCGCGUGUAGCAGUGAAAUGCGUAGAUAUGCGGAGGAACACCGAUGGCGAAGGCAGCCUCCUGGGAUAACACUGACGCUCAUGCACGAAAGCGUGGGGAGCAAACAGG
RNAcentral lists this ribosomal RNA (429 nucleotides) under Acidobacteriota bacterium. RNAcentral's name for it is "Acidobacteria bacterium partial 16S ribosomal RNA". It matches the Rfam family "Bacterial small subunit ribosomal RNA", at positions 355 to 776 of the family's 1533-position model. The record is from RNAcentral. Lineage: Bacteria; Pseudomonadati; Acidobacteriota.